GGGGUUGUAGUCCAGUGGUAGAACGCUUGCCUUGUAUGUGUGAGGCCCUGGGUUCAAUCCUCAGCAUCACAU
RNAcentral lists this transfer RNA (72 nucleotides) under Ictidomys tridecemlineatus (thirteen-lined ground squirrel). RNAcentral describes it as "Spermophilus tridecemlineatus (thirteen-lined ground squirrel) tRNA". It matches the Rfam family "tRNA". From Rfam's summary of the family: Transfer RNA (tRNA) molecules are approximately 80 nucleotides in length. Their secondary structure includes four short double-helical elements and three loops (D, anti-codon, and T loops). Lineage: Eukaryota; Metazoa; Chordata; Mammalia; Rodentia; Sciuridae. The record is from Rfam by way of RNAcentral.